This 131-nucleotide small nucleolar RNA is filed under the name Charadrius vociferus (killdeer). RNAcentral's name for it is "Small nucleolar RNA SNORA55". It matches the Rfam family "Small nucleolar RNA SNORA55". Rfam says of the family: ACA55 is a member of the H/ACA class of snoRNA that guide the sites of modification of uridines to pseudouridines. Lineage: Eukaryota; Metazoa; Chordata; Aves; Charadriiformes; Charadriidae. The record is from Rfam by way of RNAcentral.
GAUCACAUCUUUCCUGCUUCUUGCGAUACAGUGCUGGACUGGGGACUCAUGAUGCGACAGGGAAGCAGAGGAAAUCCAGACAAGCUCCCUUUCACCACAGUGGGACUUGUCUCUACGCCUUUGCAACACUU